RNAcentral lists this ribosomal RNA (460 nucleotides) under uncultured bacterium. RNAcentral's name for it is "partial 16S ribosomal RNA". It matches the Rfam family "Bacterial small subunit ribosomal RNA", at positions 338 to 795 of the family's 1533-position model. The record is from RNAcentral.
CCUACGGGAGGCAGCAGUGAGGAAUAUUGGUCAAUGGACGCAAGUCUGAACCAGCCAUGCCGCGUGCAGGAAGACGGCCCUAUGAGUUGUAAACUGCUUUUGUACGAGGAUAAACGCAGAUACGCGUAUCUGUCUGAAAGUAACGUACGAAUAAGGAUCGGCUAACUCCGUGCCAGCAGCCGCGGUAAUACGGAGGAUUCGAGCGUUAUCCGGAUUUAUUGGGUUUAAAGGGUGCGUAGGUGGGCUGUUAAGUUAGAGGUGAAAUCUCGAGGCUCAACUUUGGAAUUGCCUCUGAUACUGGUCGCCUAGAGAGUAGUUGAGGUAGGCGGAAUUCAUGGUGUAGCGGUGAAAUGCUUAGAGAUCACGCAGAACACCGAUUGCGAAGGCAGCUUACCAAGCUACCUCUGACGUUGAUGCACGAAAGCGUGGGGAGCAAACAGGAUUAGAUACCCGAGUAGUC